UACAUUAAUAUAAAACCAUCGCUAAGGAACUAACUCGGUUAAUCCUUCUCGUGCCAUCACUGAGGACGAGUUUACUAGAGAAAAGAUAAAUUACAAUAACAACAAGAUGCGUUAUUCAGGAGCCACAAUCAUGAUAUUGUGUCUCCUCGUGGUAUUAACAAUGUUUCAAUAUACUUCGUCGCGGCGACUCCCUACAACCACUACAUGUCGAUUUAAUACCGACUGUGCUGCAGAUAGAAGCUGUAUAAUUUAUACGUGUAUAAAUCCUUGCCUCCUUGUUGUGACUCAUAAUAUAUGCCCAUUUAAUUGUACAGUUGUAAACCACCAACCAAUAUGCCAGAACUAAUAUAUCCGGCGCAGGUGGGAAGUGCAUUAUUAAUUUUUCGAAAUGGAUGCACAUAUAUACACCUUUAUAUAUAUUCAUGCACAUAUAUAAAUAUAUAUAUAUAUAUAUAUAUAUAUAUAUAUAUCAAUGCACACAUCUAUGAUAUAUUAACUUGAUUAUUCAUAUAAAACAUUUUAUGCUUUACAUAUUAUAA
Long non-coding RNA from Ooceraea biroi (clonal raider ant), 539 nucleotides. RefSeq lists it as uncharacterized. The record is from RefSeq and is a predicted model, not a curated record. Lineage: Eukaryota; Metazoa; Arthropoda; Insecta; Hymenoptera; Formicidae.